AUCCUGAGUACCAAGGAACCACGUCAAUAUCGAACUACCUAACAAGACACGCUCGUUCACGUCAGCCUACCAUCACUGACCAAUCAGAGUGAAGAAGCGAAGGAAUCAACCAAUCAGGAAGCAGGAAGGGAAUGAGAGGGAGGCAGAAGGGGACAGGAAGUAGAAGGAAGGAAUUCAGUCACUUUCAGGAUAGCAAGGAAGGACGACGCAUGGAGGAAUAUAAAUUCUUAACGCGUGUACUUGUUGGCAUAGUAAAGAAUAAAUAAGGACGUAGACGAGGUGAGAGAGGAAGAAGGGAGGAAUUGAAAAAGGGAAGAGAAGAAUCUGGAUCAAGUUGCCACAGACGAACCUGAACUAUUGGGUGGAGGAAGAUGACAGGGCAGCAUGCAGAAUCCUUGUCACACAGGCCAGGAGGAUCUUGGGCAACUCCUUAGCAAAACGUGUGGUGAGGCAGCGUGGCGAGAUGAUACAACAGCAGUACAGACCUCAAUAUGCUGGGAAACCACUAGAUCUCCCAUGCCAACAGCCAACCAAGGGCAGGGUGAACAGGCUUGGUGCAGGCUGAGGAAGAGUUCCAUCUCUACUCCUCUGAGGUGCACCAAGCUAAUAGUGUCUUCCUUGUCCCCAAGAUCAUAAGAAUUCCACUGGAGUGUGUGUUCUUCAGUACAAGGCACACUGUGACAAGAAAAGUGUUGGCAGUGCUUUAGCUGAAAGAAUGAGUGUGCUGUCCUGCUGCUUACUCACUGCUGCUAUGGCCACCCUGGAGAGACUAAGCAUAUUGACACGGGACCACCACAGUGACUUAUCCAUAGAGCACCUCACAGCAUUGGGUGUGUUGACCUGAUGAUCCUUUCCACCUCAGCAGUGUUAACACGAAGUUGUAGGAUCUUCCUGAGCAGCAUUGACCUCCACUCCAGGACACUGGAAGUCAAACCCCACCAGUAAUCUCUUGGCAAUGGCUUUUUAUGACAGUUACAGCAAUAAACUUACUUGACUUCUGCUAUGACAAGAAUCUCAAUUAUAGAUAUGUUAUCUAUAUAAGUUUAGUGGAGUCAGCUGAGUCACGUACCUGGUCUUCCCUACUGAGUGCGGCCGUUAGUAGGGUCUAUAGGCAUCCUUGGGUCGCUUGAGCUGAACCUUUAGGCGCUUCAUGCCGAUCU
Portunus trituberculatus (swimming crab) is the source of this 1160-nucleotide long non-coding RNA. RefSeq lists it as uncharacterized. The transcript is spliced from 6 exons. NCBI's taxonomy places the organism in Eukaryota, Metazoa, Arthropoda, Malacostraca, Decapoda, Portunidae. The record is from RefSeq and is a predicted model, not a curated record.